AAACUUGAGAGUUUGAUCAUGGCUCAGAACGUACGCUGGCGGCACGCCUAACACAUGCAAGUCGAACGAAGUAGCAAUACUUAGUGGCAGACGGGUGAGUAACAUGUAGGUAUCUGCCCUUUGGCCUGGAAUAACACGAGGAAACUUGUGCUAAUACCGGAUAAGUCUUUACGGAGAAAGCUUUAUGCACCAUUGGAUGAGCCUGCACUUGAUUAGUUUGUUGGUGGGGUAAUGGCCUACCAAGACUGUGAUCAAUAGCUGAUUUGAGAGGAUGAUCAGCCACAUUGGGACUGAGACACGGCCCAAACUCCUACGGGAGGCAGCAGUGGGGAAUCUUGCACAAUGGAGGAAACUCUGAUGCAGCGAUGCCGCGUGAGUGAAGAAGGCCUUUGGGUUGUAAAGCUCUUUCGUCGGGGAAGAAAAUGACUGUACCCGAAUAAGAAGGUCCGGCUAACUUCGUGCCAGCAGCCGCGGUAAUACGAAGGGACCUAGCGUAGUUCGGAAUUACUGGGCUUAAAGAGUUCGUAGGUGGUUGAAAAAGUUGGUGGUGAAAUCCCAGAGCUUAACUCUGGAACUGCCAUCAAAACUUUUCAGCUAGAGUAUGAUAGAGGAAAGCAGAAUUUCUAGUGUAGAGGUGAAAUUCGUAGAUAUUAGAAAGAAUACCAAUUGCGAAGGCAGCUUUCUGGAUCAUUACUGACACUGAGGAACGAAAGCAUGGGUAGCGAAGAGGAUUAGAUACCCUCGUAGUCCAUGCCGUAAACGAUGUGUGUUAGACGUUGGAAAUUUAUUUUCAGUGUCGCAGCGAAAGCGAUAAACACACCGCCUGGGGAGUACGACCGCAAGGUUAAAACUCAAAUGAAUUGACGGGGACCCGCACAAGUAGUGGAGCAUGUGGUUUAAUUCGAAGAUACGCGCAGAACCUUACCAACACUUGACAUGUUCGUCGCGACUCUAAGAGAUUAGAGUUUUCGGUUCGGCCGGACGAAACACAGGUGCUGCAUGGCUGUCGUCAGCUCGUGUCGUGAGAUGUUGGGUUAAGUCCCGCAACGAGCGCAACCCUCACUUUUAGUUGCCAUCAUUAAGUUGGGCACUCUGAAAGAACUGCCAGUGAUAAGCUGGAGGAAGGUGGGGAUGACGUCAAGUCCUCAUGGCCCUUACGUGUUGGGCUACACACGUGCUACAAUGGUAUCUACAACAGGAAGCAAGACUGCGAGGUCAAGCAAAUCCUUAAAAGAUACCUCAGUUCGGAUUGCACUCUGCAACUCGAGUGCAUGAAGCUGGAAUUACUAGUAAUCGUGGAUCAGCGUGCCACGGUGAAUGCGUUCCCGGGUCUUGUACACACCGCCCGUCACACCAUGGGAGUUGGUUCUACCUUAAGGCAAGGUUUCAAACCCUUGACCACGGUAUAGUCAGCGACUGGGGUGAAGUCGUAACAAGGUAGCCGUAGGGGAACCUGCGGCUGGAUUACCUCCUUU
Molecule: ribosomal RNA, 1475 nt
Filed under: Candidatus Pelagibacter sp.
Lineage: Bacteria; Pseudomonadati; Pseudomonadota; Alphaproteobacteria; Candidatus Pelagibacterales; Candidatus Pelagibacteraceae
Description: bacterial SSU rRNA
Rfam family: Bacterial small subunit ribosomal RNA
Source: RNAcentral